RNAcentral lists this ribosomal RNA (622 nucleotides) under uncultured bacterium. Its description in RNAcentral is "bacterial SSU rRNA". It matches the Rfam family "Bacterial small subunit ribosomal RNA", at positions 338 to 1325 of the family's 1533-position model. The record is from RNAcentral.
CCUACGGGAGGCAGCAGUGGGGAAUUUUGGACAAUGGGCGAAAGCCUGAUCCAGCAAUGCCGCGUGAGUGAAGAAGGCCUUCGGGUUGUAAAGCUCCUUUGUCAGGGAAGAAACGGUGAGAGCUAAUAUCUUUUGCUAAUGACGGUACCUGAAGAAUAAGCACCGGCUAACUACGUGCCAGCAGCCGCGGUAAUACGUAGGGUGCAAGCGUUAAUCGGAAUUACUGGGCGUAAAGCGUGCGCAGGCGGUUUUGUAAGUCUGUCGUGAAAUCCCCGGGCUCAACCUGGGAAUUGCGAUGGAGACUGCAAGGCUAGAAUCUGGCAGAGGGGGGUAGAAUUCCACGUGUAGCAGUGAAAUGCGUAGAGAUGUGGAGGAACACCGAUGGCGAAGGCAGCCCCCUGGGUCAAGAUUGACGCUCAUGCACGAAAGCGUGGGGAGCAAACAGGAUUAGAUACCCUGGUAGUCCACGCCCUAAACGAUGUCUACUAGUUGUCGGGUUUUAAUUAACUUGGUAACGCAGCUAACGCGUGAAGUAGACCGCCUGGGGAGUACGGUCGCAAGAUUAAAACNCAAAGUAGUAGUACGGACGNGAGAGAGACGACGACGACGACGAGAGGAGGAG